AGAGUUUGAUCCUGGCUCAGGAUGAACGCUAGCUACAGGCUUAACACAUGCAAGUCGAGGGGAAACGACAUCGAAAGCUUGCUUUUGAUGGGCAUCGACCGGCGCACGGGUGAGUAACGCGUAUCCAACCUGCCCACCACUUGGGGAUAACCUUGCGAAAGUAAGACUAAUACCCAAUGACGUCUCUAGAAGACAUCUGAAGGAGAUUAAAGAUUUAUCGGUGAUGGAUGGGGAUGCGUCUGAUUAGCUUGUUGGCGGGGUAACGCCACAAGGCGACGAUCAGUAGGGGUUCUGAGAGGAAGGUCCCCCANAUUGGAACUGAGACACGGUCCAAACUCCUACGGGAGGCA
This 350-nucleotide ribosomal RNA is filed under the name uncultured bacterium. RNAcentral describes it as "bacterial SSU rRNA". It matches the Rfam family "Bacterial small subunit ribosomal RNA", at positions 8 to 350 of the family's 1533-position model. The record is from RNAcentral.